UACAGAGGGUGCGAGCGUUGUUCGGAAUUAUUGGGCGUAAAGCGCUUGUAGGUGGCACGUCAAGUCGCGUGUGAAAUCCCCAGGCUUAACCUGGGAAGUGCGCGCGAAACUGACGAGCUUGAGUGCCGGAGAGGGUCGCGGAAUUCCCGGUGUAGAGGUGAAAUUCGUAGAUAUCGGGAGGAACACCAGUGGCGAAGGCGGGCGAC
This 206-nucleotide ribosomal RNA is filed under the name uncultured bacterium. RNAcentral describes it as "partial 16S ribosomal RNA". It matches the Rfam family "Bacterial small subunit ribosomal RNA", at positions 524 to 729 of the family's 1533-position model. The record is from RNAcentral.